UACGUAGGGUGCAAGCGUUAAUCGGAAUUACUGGGCGUAAAGCGUGACGCAGGCGGUGAUGUAAGACAGGUGUGAAAUCCCCGGGCUUAACCUGGGAACUGCAUUGUGACUGCAUCGCUGGAGUGCGGCAGAGGGGGAUGGAAUUCCGCGUGUAGCAGUGAAAUGCGUAGAUAUGCGGAGGAACACCGAUGGCGAAGGCAAUCCCCUGGGC
Molecule: ribosomal RNA, 211 nt
Filed under: uncultured bacterium
Lineage: Bacteria
Description: partial 16S ribosomal RNA
Rfam family: Bacterial small subunit ribosomal RNA
Source: RNAcentral